UAGAAAUUUUCUUUUUAUUUCUUUCUCUAUAUUAUUAUUAUUUUUUCUUUCUCUUUCCUUUUUUCCAUCUCCCCAGCAGGUAUAACUAUAGAGAAUGUUGAGUAGAGUUGUUUGGCUUUGCUUCUAUAGCUGUAUGCACUUCUGAUGGCAACUUUUAUACUGGGCUGUGCGCUUCAAACUCUAAGCCUGUAGAUGGCACUUAUAGGUAUGAGCUGGUUGCAGCCAAUUUGGGGAUAUACUUGACCUUUGUUUACUGGGAGAAGCUCCCUGUUGCUUCAGGUAAAUGGGCUGAUCCAUGGAGUGCACAGUGGUCUGAGCUUCCUGUUUAGCCCCUGGUGAGUGGGGGACAUGAUGGAUGGAGCUGGACCAGGCGAGUCUGCCUACAGGCUCCAGGGACAAGCACAAGUGCUGAGGGAGAAUCCAGUGAGCAGCCAUCAAGUACCUAGAGGUGCACCUAGGCAUGGAGCUGGGAAACCUCUUUAGCCCCAAGUUCACUGCACAGGGAUGGGGGAUGGCCUAAACUCCUUAUCCAGGAGAGGGGGCACUCCAGGUGCCUGGAGAUCUGCCUGGGUGUGGAGUGAAGAGGUCCCUGCUUCACCAGGAUCUCUAUAUAGGAAGAAUGGCAUAGGUCAGAAUGCCAAUCCAGGUGAGUGGGUACUUUGAAUACCUGGAGAUCUGCCUAUUGUGGAGCAGAGAAAGCCCCGUUUCACCACAAUCUAUACUCAGGAAGGUUGAGGUGGCUCAAGCUGCUGAACUAAGCAAAUGGGUCCUCCAAAUGCCUGGAGAUCUGCCUGGGCAUGGAGCAGAAAAGGCCCCACUAUAUCUUGAUCUAUGUCUAUGAAGGGUGGGGCAGCUCAGGCUGCUGGUCCAGGCAAACAGGUACUCCAAAUGCCUGGAUUUCUGCCUGUGGCUAGAGUGGAUAGGGCCCCACUGCACCAUGAUCUCAGGGGAACAGGAUGGAGCACCCAGAAAUGGCGUGCACAGACUGGUUCCAAGUCACUAAGCUGACCCUGGCUGCAAGUCUUGCUGCUCAGGAGAAACUGCAGUGGUAGCAGCUCCCAUCCCAUCCUAGUCUUGCAAUGGGGAAUAACAAAAUUCCAGUGCCUACUGCUGAGGUACUUUUCAUAGUUCUAGCUCUGGAGACCCCUAUGCCACUCUAGAGCAGGCACUCCAGUCUCUGACCUGAGACUAAAAUGCCUGCAUGGCUACACUGCCAGGUUGCUAAAGAAUGGCUGACUUUAUGUCCCUGGGUUAAAACACAUCCUGCUUUUGGUCCCAGGUCUGGGAAAAUGCCUGUAGUGUUCCCCAGUGUCUUUUUUCUCAUAGCAUCUCCAAGCUCCUCCCCAGGUUGGCUGCAAGGCUUAGGAUAAACAAGGUGUCCUCCCUUGGCCUGGGUUGCUCGGAUCCCCAGUGGAAAGGUAAGUAACAGAGGGAGGCUGUCUGCCUGUCUCACAUACUGGGGUUUCACUCACUUUUCUCAGCCAGAUGCUUUCAUGGGGUCCGUUUGCCCACAUUUUCCUCUCUGGGAUCUGAGGUGUCCUUCAUGAUUCUGGUGAAUCCCCAUUUUCCUUCUUGAAUUAAUGCCACAGAGUUGAUCUUUAUGCACUAUCUUGCUAUUUCCAAGUGACUGAGGCAUGCUAAAAGGGUGUAAUCCACCAUCUUGUGAAAAAAAGCGUGGUAAUCUUAUUGUGGGUCUUGGGUGAAGAAUUGUUUUUUUCUUGCUACAUUUAGAGUUUUCUCUUUAUCCUUUGUUUGAUUUUGAUGUGCCUAGGUGUGGAUCUGUUUCAGUUUAUCCUACUUAGAGAUUGUUGAGCUUCUUGGAUGUUGAGCUUCUUGGACAUGAAGAUUAAUGUUUUUCAUCAAAUGUAAGUUUUCAGUCAUUAUUCACAUUUUUUUCUGCUCCUUUGCCUUUUUUCUCUAAGUAUGUCACCUUUGUGUAGCAGAAAAAGAAAAGGCAUACAUGACUGGAUUAGGGGCCUCAUCACAUGUCAGGGGCCAGCUCUGCAAGUCUUGUACUUUGGAAAAAGAACCAACUAGCCUGUUCAGCGAUACAAAUGUCAGAAAGUUGAGAAUGCCUGGAUUUCAAAUAUCCUAAUAGACUAUAGAGGAGAUAUGUUUGGUGAAGGAAAUCCUUUCCGGAAUCCUCCAAGUCAUAAUGUAAAUGGUUGCCUACUAAUUCUCAGCCCUUAAAUCUAGUCCUAGUAAGCCCUGAUAAACUGACUCAUACAAGAUGGGAAUGCCUACCAUGAAAUGCUGAGAUGGGAUAUGACAGUGACAACAAAGGCUGCUGCUGUAAUGUGAUCUCUCCAGAUGGGUUCUUUCAUCUUAGGUAAAAAGGUAUUGGUUUUGAAAAUGCUCCCAAGGAAAGCUGCAUACAAAUAUCCAUCUCAGAGUCUAAUUCCAAGGAACCCAGUCCAGAUGGCUGCCUUCCAGAGUCUGGGUUCUCUGCCACUGUUUGAUAUUUUGUUCUUUAUAUCUUCUGCCAAAAAAAAUUGCGAAUCUCUCAUCUCUCAGCACCAAGCUUGUGAGCAUGUUUCAGAAAAUGUGCCACCCUGAACUCGGAGUGAAAGAGAAGCUUCAUUGGUUAUGUCACUGCUGAUGUGAAAGCAAGGCCUCCAUCAUAAGGGACAUUGGUCUAUACCUCUCUUUUCUUGUAAUGUCUUUGUCUGGCUUUGGUAUCCAGGUAAUGCUGACCUCAUAGGAUGAGUUAAGAAGUGUUCCAUCCUUUUCAAAUUUUGGAAGAAUUUGAAAACGAUUAGGAUUAGUGAUUUAAAUGUUUGGUAGAAUUCACCUGUGAAGCCAUCAGGCCCAAAGCUUUUCUUUGAUUUUUGAUUUUUGAUUACUACUUCAAUCUCCUUAUUAGUUAUAGGCUAUUCAGAUUUUCUAUAUCUUCUUGAUUCAGUCUCAGUAGGUUUUGGGUUUCUAGGAUUUGUCCAUUUCAUCUAAGUUAUUCAAUUUGUUGCUGUAUAAUUAUUCAUGUUACUGUCUUAUACCCCUCUUUACAUUUUGUGUAAUUGGUAGUAAUGUCCCUACUUUCUGAUUUUUCUUAUUUUUUUAAUGUGCUUAUAGCUAUAAAUUUCCUCCUUACUACUGCUUUUGCUGUGUCCCACCUGAUGAAGUCCUUCCAGACCCUAACCAAUUUUUCAGGGUUUGGGCUACCUGCAAAUUUGAUUCUAGCCUCUUUUCCAGUGUCAGCAGGACACAUGGAUUUCCCAACUCUUUAAUAUAUGGUGAUUUGCCAUGUUCUCCAGCUUGCUUUUGAACACAGUAAUGCCAAUAAUGAUCUAACAAUGAUAAUAAUAAUGAGCAUUUGUUGAGGUCAUAAUCUAGAUUAUUGUGUUGUGCAUUUGUUUUUAUUCAUCUCUAAGUACUUUCUAAUUUCUCUUGUGAUUUCUUUGAUCCAUUGGCUAAGAGUGUGUUAUUUAAUUUACAUACAUUUGUGAAUUUUCCUGCUUUCCUAUUGAUUUUGAACCUCAUCCUGAUAGGAGAUGAUCCUUUAUAUGAUAGCUAUUUUUUUUUAAAUCGAUUGAGACUUAAGUUGUGACCUAAUAUGUGAUCUAUUCUGGAAAAUGUCCGAUAUGCGCUUAAGAAGAAUGUGUGUUGUUGUGUCCGGAAUUGGUGGGUUCUUGGUCUCACUG
This 3638-nucleotide long non-coding RNA is filed under the name Homo sapiens (human). RNAcentral describes it as "HSALNT0367450". Lineage: Eukaryota; Metazoa; Chordata; Mammalia; Primates; Hominidae. The record is from RNAcentral.